Molecule: ribosomal RNA, 434 nt
Filed under: uncultured bacterium
Lineage: Bacteria
Description: partial 16S ribosomal RNA
Rfam family: Bacterial small subunit ribosomal RNA
Source: RNAcentral
AGCGAACGCUGGCGGCAGGCCUAACACAUGCCAGUCGAACGAACCUUUCGGGGUUAGUGGCGGACGGGUGAGUAACACGUGGGAACGUGCCUUUAGGUUCGGAAUAACUCAGGGAAACUUGUGCUAAUACCGAAUGUGCCCUUCGGGGGGAAGAUUAAUCGCCUUUAGAGCGGCCCGCGUCUGAUUAGCUAGUUGGUUGAGGUAAUGGCUCACCAAGGCGACGAUCAGUAGCUGGUCUGAGAGGAUGAUCAGCCACAUUGGGACUGAGACACGGCCCAAACUCCUACGGGAGGCAGCAGUGGGGAAUCUUGCGCAAUGGGCGAAAGCCUGACGCAGCCAUGCCGCGUGAAUGAUGAAGGUCUUAGGAUUGUAAAAUUCUUUCACCGGGGACGAUAAUGACGGUACCCGGAGAAGAAGCCCCGGCUAACUUCGUG